This 30724-nucleotide long non-coding RNA is filed under the name Phoenix dactylifera (date palm). Its description in RNAcentral is "long non-coding RNA (PDAC_LNC001004)". Lineage: Eukaryota; Viridiplantae; Streptophyta; Magnoliopsida; Arecales; Arecaceae. The record is from RNAcentral.
UAUGAGCAGUAAAAGUUCAAUACAGUGAGGUUAGUUUACUUUUAAACUGGAAAAUAGUUUGGAUAGAAACGUAGGCUGUAUUCCCCUUCUGUAGGAAUUCUUGAAGACACUUGGAAUCUUGUUCUUGUGUAAUAAAUCAGUGCCAGUGAGUUAAUUAAGAAACAACAAUGGGCAGGGAGAAAUCCUUAACCACCAUACUGUAGCUUACAGCAUUUAGUUCUCGAGUAUGCUUUGCAAAAAACAGCAUAUAGAGUUUGAGGAGGUCCAUAGCCUGUCUUAUCAUUUGACUGGAGUCUGGAUUAUUUAUGGCAUGACAUUUGCAAAACUAUGAUUUUGUUGUGACAUUAGACCAAUACACCUUGAAAACAUCUUUUCGGUGAUCUUUGGAGGAAAUUCUUGGCCUCUGGUAAAUGCUGAUGCUUCACCUUACUAGAUUCCUAAGGAUACUAAGAUAUCCAAAUUGAUUGUGUUUUGCUUGCUUCCUUAGUUGAAAUGUUCUGAACAAGCAUUGGAUCAAUUCUGCCAUCUCGUUUCUCACAUUUUGUUUAUCCCUUAAAAUUUAAAUUUUGCUUGUAUUGGCAUGAUAAUUUAACAGUGCACCAGGAAGGGGCUCCACAGGAUGGCCACGAGGUGGUGGCCGUGGUCAAGGUAAAGGCCGCAAUGAGCCGAUAUCUGCUGCAGAGCUUGAUCCUGAUCUGGAGAAGUACCAUUCAGAGGUGAUGCAAAUUAAUUGAAAUCUCUUACCUGGAUUUUAUGUGCUCCAGUUGCUUGCUCAAUGCUGCUCAAUAGUUUUCUGCUACUCUGUAUGGAAGGGAAACCACUCUUAAGAUUAGUACUUCACUGUUUUAUGGGGCUUAGAUUUUCUUAUUGUUACUGCUCCUUUUGAUUUCAGCAUGCUACUUGGAUUAAGUGGACAUCCGGUGACUGCCCUCAAGGAGCAGUCCAUUUGGCUGGUUUAGUUUUUUACUCUCUUUCACUAAUGCUGCUCAGAUUCCAUCCUGCAUUGGUAGUGCAAGCUGUUCAAGUCAGCUGCAGAAGGGAAAUUGCAGUGCUUGAGCAUAUGCAAUCCUAGUUUCACAUUCUGAAUUAUUGCACAGGCCGAACUGGUUGAAGGUAUGUGUCUUAUUUCUUAAUUAUCUAUCUGCCUAAUGCUGAAUAAUGUUACUGAAUUAUCCACUUGAUAAAUGAUUGUCGCCCUGUAAAUCUGUUAUUUUUUCCUUUUUGUUUCUCUUGAGCACUGAAACUUGCUUUAACCACAAUAAUAUUAAUAUGCCAUGCAGUUGCAGCCUAAAAAAAAUGUAUUGCAUUGUUUUGCAGGUGGUUGGUGACAGAUGUCUACCCCUAGUGUUUUCGGUUCUUUUUGAGGCUGCUACUUAGUUGAUGGGAUGUCAGGUUCCUUCACCCAGCUAAACCAAAAAUUUUCUUUCGGCUGCUUCUGAUUUGUCUUCCAAGUAGUAUCAGUAUCCAUGAAUAUUGAAAAUACUUAUGAUGGUGCAUCAGAUGUAUUUAGAAUUGCGCAUCAACUGGAAGCAGGUUGAUGCUUGUGGACUGAGGCAGAGCAUAGGGUGCCAAAAGUGUCUAAACCAAAAAUUAUCUGGGGCUGCUGUUGAUUUCUGGUAGCGUUAAUGCCUGAAAAUAUGCGUGAUGGUACAUCAUAUAUCAUUAGAAUUGUGCAUCAACUGAAAGCAGGUUGGUGCUUCGUAUGGUGCCUGAAUCAAAAAAUAUAUGUGGGCUGCUGUGGAUUUCCAGCUGUAUCUGUGCCCAUGAAUUUUGGGAACAUGCAUGAUCGUGCAUCGGGUAGCAUUAGAAUUGUGUCAACUGCAAGCAGGCUGAUGCUUGCGGUCUCGGUUCGUGGAGUGAGGCUGAGCUUACGAUGUCAGAGGUGCAUUACCAUGUUGGUUUUGCUUGCUAAGGAAUUAACUCAGUGGUAUCAUACCUGCAUGGUUUUGCUUGCUUUGAGACUCUGUAUGAAGCAGUUUAUAAGGUAUUUGCUGUACCGUUUCAUUGACGGUGCUAUCAUGAGAAAUGGUGCUCAUGAUGAGACAAAAUGUUUAAUUACUCGUAUUGGUUUUACUCGACCGGUUGCAAGAACCGUGUAUAUUGGAGGAAAUGUAAUUAAUCAUAUCAGGUCUCUAAACCCAGGAGUGAUUCUUUGCAGUUCAGUGUAACUAAUUUUUUUCAUUUUGGUUUUUUUUCUUCCUUUUUUUUUUCUUUGGAGACCUGAAGCCUAUCUAGUUUGCCUCCACGGUCCUAAGGCAAAACAAACCGAAUUUUGGACUGUACAUUUACCAGUAAGCUUUGGAUGUAUAUAAGUAUCUGGUUGACUCAUGAAAUCAAAUGGAGCAAAGGCUAGCUAUUGUGAUAUUUCAGAAAAUAAGGCUCUACGGAACGUUUCACUUGAGCUGAUCUCUCAGUUUAGCAUGUGAUAUCUCGUAAAACUACUUACUGCUGCAUUAUCAGUUAGCAUUGACCGCCUAUGUCAAGAAAAUCAGAAUACCUAACUCACAAUAAACAAGUGUACGAUCAACCUUUAUCGUGCUUGGCAGAAUAAAGAGUACCAUAUUACAAGCAAAAAGCAAGAUACAACAUUGAGUAAUGCUGAUACCCUCCCAACGUAAUUCCAACUCUCCAAGUCAGUAUAUCAUAAAUGCCGCUAUGCAUUCUUAGAUCUUCUUAUGCUUUCCCAACUAGAAAUAAUCAACCUCAAUAUAUAGUAUAUAACAGUUCUGACACACGUCAUAAUGAAAUUCCAGCAAGAUGAGGGCCAACACCAAGGAUACAGCAGCCGGAAAAAAAGGCUAAUAACAUGCCGUGGGUACUGUCCAACCUGUCACCCAAAAAAAGCCACUAAAUACUAUGGGUAAACAAAUACCAACAAGAAAAAAGAAAAAAAACAAUACUAAAAGAUUCUAUCAUGCAGAUUUUUAACCAUACCUCCACAAAAAGCAAACAUAUUCCAACCUUGCAUAUACAUUAAUGGUCAAGUUGAGCUAACAUUUGAAGUAACUUCUAUAAAGUUACAUCCCUUUUGUAUUGAAUGAUAGGAUCUCUCACCGAUGAUAUAAACUACUGAAUAUAAUCUACUAUUUCUAAAUUGCUUCCACAUCAAUCAGACUCUUAAGCUAUACAACAAGCAAUCAAAAAUUAGGCAGUUUAAAUAACUCAAAAUAAUAACAUAUUUUUAACCAUUUGAUAUAUAAGCUAGAAUUUUUUUUGUUGAUGUGUAAGUGGCUUAGAGAUGAUAGAUUGCACCCAAUUUGAGAUCCUCAUCAUCAUUAGAACUACACCAGGUAUAAUUUGAACCUGACCUCUUUCUCUCUCUAUAGAGAGAGUUACAAAUAGAGAGAGAACACUACAACUAUUAUCCAAGCAAACAAAAAAACUACUGACCAUGUAGUGAACAAGAACCUUUCAGAAAGCCCCUCCCAGAGCAUAUCACACCUGCUUGCCCCAUUCAUAGAAUUUCUGGCAGAAGACAUUUGGAUUGUUGCAACAGCCGCGCAUAAUCCACAAUGCGCCAUUAUUUUAAUCCAAAAAUAAAGAGAGGAGUUUAAUUUGGUGCCUUCUGGUUCAUCCUAUAUCUUCAUGAAACCGUUCUGUUCUGCCUUCUUGUAUCUUGAAGUCAGUCAACUUGUAAAAGGGCUGCAGAGAAUCGAAGAGACAGAAGGGAAGUAGGGUACAGUUGAGGGGCACAAACAUUAUAAUCCUAGAUCCCAAUGAGUCCAAAGAAUCUUGUAUCCCUAAAUUUUCUGAGACUCCAAAAUCCACAUUAGCUAGAUGUUUAGGCCAUCGCAGCAAUGUGUGGAAAGAUGUGAUAUAGGCAUUUUGCUUCUCGUAUCUUGAAGUCAGUCAAGCUGAAGGGCUGCAGAGAAUCAAAGGGAAAAAGGGAAGUAGGGUACAGUUGAGGGGCACAAACAUCAUAAUCCUAGAUCCCAUGAGUCCACUCAGAGACUCGUGUCCCUAAAUUAUCUGAGACUCCAGAAUCCAAAUUAGCUACUUGUUUUGGCCAUUCCCAGCAAUGUGGGCAAUGAUGUGAUAUAGGCAUCCAACUAAGCCACACAAGAACUAGGCAUCCAACUAGGUCACUCAAAGAACAAUGUAUGCAACCAAGAGACCACCACACAAGAAACUUGCAAAAAUGCACGUUGAGAACAUUUUUGGUGAUAUCGAAUUGGAAGAUAGAAGCAUGUUGAGAACAUUUUUGGUGAUAUCGAAAUGGAAGAUAGAAGCAAACGAGAAGCAUUAGCGAUUUAUUUAUUGCAAGAUUGCUAAUAUACUCACUAACUCAAGACUGCUAAUUGUUAGCAAGACCAUGAGCUUGGCAGAAACAUUUGACCCCCCACAAGCAUCCACCUAUUAUGCGAAACAUAAUUUUUGUAUAUACCAUGAUUAUGACAAUUCACUUCACUGCAAGCGUUCAAAUACUAUGUAUGUGCGCAGGUGUUUUAAUUUUUAUCAGGGAAACAAAUUGAGGGCUCUAAAUUCAUUGCAAGCAUCUGGUUUUCAUGCAUGUGCACAAACAUUCACUGAGUAACUGACACGGUGAAUCUUUCCAGCAAGGAGUUAGGUCACUGACACUGUUUAAAUGGAAAUGUCAAAUCUCUAUCAUGUUUCCAAUCAUCAUUCAAUUCUCAAAGUGCAUUCUAAAUAAUCGAUGAAUAGAGAAGUACCAAUGUCCUCUUUACAUGUUUCCAGACACGACAAGGUCAAUGUUCCAUUAAAUUGCGAUCCAUAUGGAAUUUCAAUCACCUACUCACCAGAUGAACUACUUAUGGUUUUUAAUCAAAUGCCAGCGGUCAUGAUAGUCAACACAAAUCUAUCACGGGUAACACAAAGAACAGCAAAAUCCAAGGCAGAUGCUAGUCCACUAAAACCCUUUCCAUUCUCUCAUAAAUUGAGAUCAAACAAACUUCCAGAAUUGAUUCCAUUAUGUUGGAUUGCUUAACUACCAAUGCACCCAAUGUCGGCGGAACUAGUACCGAGCAUCGUAUCGGUUGCCUGACGGGACUAGUCGGUACGGGCCUAUGCCGUGCCAUAUCGGGCCCAUACCGACACAAUAGAGGACAAGGAAGAGAGAGAGAGAAGGGGAGAGAGGAAGGGAGACCGGCGGAGGGCCGGCGAAGGCCGACGGCCCAAGUUGGAGGCGGAAGAAACCUUCGCAGCCAAAAAAUAGGGCAGGUCACCUGUUUUGUUCGAAACAGGGGUCGCCCCAUUUUUUUUAAUUUUGCAAUGUUUAAGUGAAGCCGGCAAGCGAACAAAGGACCCGCCUUGUUUCCUGGCCACAGAGCCUAGAGAAGCGUCCUCCGUGCGGCUCGCUGACCGGUCUCCACUUCCCUCUCUCUUCCUUCUUCUUCAUCUCCUUCCCUCCCCCGCUCGCUCUCUUUUUCUCUCUUUCCUUCUUCUUCUCGCCCUCCGGCAACGGAUUUCAUUUCCGUUCCUAGAACCGUGCUGGUCAGCCGUCGAGGCGGCUCGUAACGGCCGAAACCAUCCGGUUUAGGACGGUUCCGCCAACCCUGAAUGCACCCCUUUGAUUAACAUUACAUUCACUAUCAUAAAUUGCUACACACAACAAAUUUUUUACAAGAUAGUACCAAAAAUGCUGGCUGCUUGCUUUAGUUAUCAAAGUUCAUGGAAUAAAUGGUCAAUAUCAAUGUUAUAACAUAGGAAAGGAUGCAGAUCAUUCACAAAAUGAUAGGCACAAAUAUUGUAAUGACACGAAAUCAUGCCAAAACAAGCUAUAAAGACCCGCUGGUGGAUGAUUAAACUACGUAUUAUUUUAUAGAUUCUUCAGCAUCUAUCAUGUAAAUCUCCUAUUUGUGUUCAGAAAAGGUACAAGGAGACUUACAGGGAAAAGAAAAUCCAGUAUAUCCCAGGCUGCAUGGCGUACAGCCCUUGUUGGAUACAUAGGACCCCCAGGAGAUGUGAAGCUGUAGAGGCAUGACUUCAAUCUUGUGCUUGUACUCAUCCUCAGUUCUAAUCCUAUAAAAUUUAGUUGUCAUUGAAUUCAAAAAAGUAAAUAUUACUGAAAGAGUGAGCUGAUUUAACUUCAAAUUAAAUAAAGGUUGCUUUAAAUUCAAAAAUCAAUUUUUUUGAUUAUGACAUAAGUAGUGUAUCAAAUCUUGGGCUAAUUACAACCUUGUAGGGCACUCAUGUGAGAAAGGUAAUGCAGAAGCACUGGCUCCACUUUUAGCUUCUGAAGCUGCAAUGUAAACAAUGCAGGUACAAUUGAUUUUAUAAUUAGCACCAGAAAAUCAUAUGGCUAUGGCUGCUCAUCUAGCAAAAGCAUAUACCUGAUCUGUAAGCUCAAUAACAAAUAUGUCUGCUGGACCACCAACAAAAAAAGAAUUUGGAAAAGUAGGAAACUGCUGUAGAAGAAUUUCAAGAAAGUCAUCUGCAUGUUACAACAACAUGACGGAACAUCACAGGAUGGACGCAGUAGUUUAAUUCAGAGGGUGAUGGAAAGCUAAUAAUUGCACACCUAAGUUGUAAAAAAAUAAGAAUCUGGAUAUGAGUAAAAACAGGUCUCGACGGGCCUGAAAGAAAUGAUAAAACAAGGCAAAUCAGAAACUGAACCGCAACUUGCAAGCUUACAGGACAAUAUGAAAGAUGAUCAUAUAAAAAUACUAUAUGAGUUGGAAAAAGAAACCAGAACCUGCAAAGAAAUUUUAUUGCUCCGUUCUGGGACCAGUGCAACCUCUUCAAGAAGAUACUGGUUAAAGAAUGGAUUCACUGGAUAAGUUCACACAAUAAUGACACAAUCGAAAAAAGGGGAACAAAGAAUUAAAAAAAAAGUUGUGACAGGUAAUAAUAUAUAUCUUACACAGAACAAGGAUAAAAAUCGCCUCGUAUUUGUUUGUAUAUCAAUCCUGCCAACAGACAUGUAAUGAAAUUAUCUUUUUAACUCCUCUUCCAAAAAGCCAUAAGACAGAACAAACUAAUAUAAGCAAAGCAAUUUUAAUUUAUGAAGAGUUACUUCAAUCGUAGUUUCAGAUUAGGUGAUCAGUGAACCAUUCGAACUUGUUUGGUCAUGAAAGUUGGACCAAGUUCAAAUUAAAGAAGUUGUGAACCAAAUUGCUUGGUUAUGACUAGGUCCAUUCCAAGAUAAAAGAUCAAACAUGUUUCAUACUAUGCAUGAACAACUUCAUCAAAGGACCAGAUGAAUAGUAACAAAAUUAAUUGAUCAGUAAAAUAAAUUUCCACAAAAUUUUGCAGACCUCCUCAAUAAAUUACUCUCAUGGAGCCCAUUGCAAAAAUCAUGAGUACUGUCAGUACAGUCAUGUACGAUGAAAUAGGUUGGAAUGACUCAGAAGUGUAUCACUCACCAGUAGAUAUCUUACUGAACCAAUCUGUCUUGACCUGUAUGCACCAUUAUAUAUUAAUUGGAUGCAUGAUGGAAUGGACUCAUGCAUAAAAAAUCUUGCUUGUUUUGACCAUCUGAAACAACAUUUUCAUAUGUUCUGAAGCUGUCCCUAUUCCUUCUAUACCUACUUUCUUUUUGGAUUUUUACUGUGCCAAUGAAACUGAAUUAUAGUACUAACAGAUGUUCAAGCAGAAGAAUACGCAUUCUUCCUUUAACUCAUGUUUGUUGGAUUUGGUGAAAACUCCACUACAGUUUGUUACAUUUUCUUUCAAUCCAUAUUUCUACAUGCUAAAAGAAGAAUCCCUGCACACUUGGCUGGAUUUGUGAACUCAAUUGGUUUAUUUGAUGGAUGUGUUAAUAUUUAGGGAUCAACCUUCACAUAGACCAAAACUUUUAUUUAAAAUAUUAAACUCUCAACAUCAGAUUUUAUUCUGUUGAAACAAUGAGAAAUAUUUUAUUUUCGUAGAAGUUAUAAUCACUUUCAAGAGAUCAUGCAUCACCUUACUAACAAAUGUACAUCUCAGUCUGUUAAGUAUUUCAAACAAGUAUUAUACUUUGGGUAGUAAAUUCCUAUGCAUAUUUUAUUAACAGAAGUAAUUCAAGAAAGCAUUAUCAUAAAUAAACAAGUUGCUACAACUAGGCAAAAGGUGCUCUCCCCUCUCUUGGAGGUUGUUCAAUAUUGACGUCCAUCAGUCACCAUUCUUGGGUGCAUGCUCAUGGGCACCAUCAUGCCUUUCAACAUCAACUGUCGCCAUAUCCUUCACUUGUAGGAGGAGGAUUAUGGGUAACUUCCAUUUAUUUCCGGUGCAGCAAUUGCUCAUACGUACAUACAUCCUUCACUUGUAGAUGGAGGAUUAUGGGUAACUUCCAUUUAUUUCCUGCUGUAACUUCCAUUUAUUUCCGGUGCAGCAAUUGCUCAUACAUAUAUGUAUGUAUCCAUGCAUGCAUACAUAUACAUCUACCUAUAUGCGUGUGUGUGUGUGUGUGUGUAGUGAGACAGAGAGAAAGAGAGAGGACACCUUUCAUGUCUCCCAUUUCUACCAUUUCUGUAAGUAGAAUAAAUACCAAAUUAGGACAUAUCUGAAAUUUCUUCUUUUAUAACAGUCAAAACACAGUAAGAGGGUAUAAGAAGGGGGAAAAUAAGGUUUAGGAUAGAACAAGGCAAAAAGUACAAAGAGAGCGGACAUAAGAGCUGAGGGAACGCAUCCAUGAAGAAGCCACUUCAUCCAACACAAUCCACAAAUUCUAAAGAAUUCGAUGUCUCAGAAUCUAAUCCUAAUAGAACCUAGAUCUAGUGCAGGACACGUAGACGAUAAUCAUACAUAAAUAGGACUUAGGAACCCACUAGAGAUCAUUUUGGUUUGUUUUGAGAAAAAAAUGGUCCUGAAAAUUAGUAUGAAAAUCUUUCUGAAACCAAAUGAAAAAAUUAAACAAUAACAUUUCUUUUUCUUUUUUUUUUUAAUUUUAAACUCGACCAUCAUAUUCUUAAAUACCACGUAGUGCAUUGCUGAUUGCCAACUUAGUAUAGCACAAAAGGUAGACAGAUUAUAUGCAUGCUUAUCUUAGCAUGACAGUGUGCAUUUGGUGAGUCUUUUGCACUUUUAUAAACUUCACUUUAUUCCCCAAUAGAAUUGGGUUCCUGGUCCAGUAUUUGCUCUUCUCAAAUUCCUAACAUAUUAAUCAUAGGUCGUGUAUCUUAAGCAGUUAAAUCAAAGUAAUCAAAGGAUAGUCACUAUAAAAAAAAGGACUUCUGACACAUACCAGAAAACAUUUCUAGCACCCUGAACAAGUGCAGAUCCAUAACGUAGCAAGGCUUCAGUAUUUUCAAUAGGAACUUCAAACAACUGCAAAAAGUAAGCCAAUGUAAAGCAGCUAGGUCAACUAAAAAUAUAUAUGCACAGAAAAUAAUCUUUUGAUGACAUACAAUUAUAAAAUACUAAACUUAGAUGAUCUAAAGAGCUUCAACUUGUUUUUCAAAUUAAGGAUGCUAUAGAAAAUAUAUGUUGUAUUUGGUUUUCUUACAAACAAAAUUAAGCUAGCAUCAUGUAACCCCUCUAUGCUGCUCUAACUGAACCGAGUAUGUCAACAUGCCAAUUGUUAUUUUUAUAUACUUUGUUCUUCAUAUUUUUAUGAACUUGGGCCCCAUUUGGCAUUGUUGUAGGCAAUAGAGCUCUUGUUUGUAGAGCUUUGGGUAGUAGAGUUUUCACUACUAGAGCUUUUAAUAAAAAGUUGCUUACUGUUUGGUCACUACAGGGCUUUAACAUCUAUUUGGAAACCAAACUGAGAAAGUGUUUUAAUAUCAAAAAAUAAUGGCAAUAGAUAUAUAUAAUGCCUUCAAUUGUCUAAUUGUUUCUACUAUCCAAACUGUUAAAGCAUUCUUAAUUUAUAAAUUAUUUAAUUUGAUAUUUAACUAAAUAAUAUAAUUAGCAAUAAAUUUUUAAAAUUUUAUUAUAAAAGAUAACAAUACUUUUAUUAUAUGAUUAUAUUAUUAUAUAAUAAUAAUAUUGUCAUUAUAAUAUAAUAAAAUGAUAUUGUUAUUUUAGUACAUUAUAAUAGUACUAUGUUGUAAUAUUAUUAUAGUAAAUGACUAUUAUAACAGCAUAAUGAUGCCGGCUACAAGAAAAGAUCUCAUAAUAGUCAAUAUGGGUCCUCAUUGCCCAUCAAUGCAUGGUGUUCUUCGACUGAUCGUUACUCUCGAUAUAAAAGAAAGAAAAAUUCAUGGACCAACCGCAUCCACCCUGUAGGAACUACGAGAUCACCCGAAGGACGCCUUCAGCAUCUAGGGGUCACGAACAGACCAUAGACUCUGUCCAAUAAGUGGAACGCAUUAGCUAUCCACUCUCUAGUUGGGCAGUACGGGUCGGAAAAGGGCGGUCACUUGUUCUUAAAACCAGCAUUCUUAAGACCAAAGAGUCGAGCGGAAAAAAGGAGAGCUCUCCGUUCUUGGUUCUCCUAUAGCUGAAUUCUCUGGAACCACCGACGCAUUUAAACAUGCAUUUCAUCACACACAGACAUGCACAUACAUGACAUGUAGAUAGUUUUUAGUUACAUUAUACUUGAUAGAUUGGUUCUUUCAACACAAUUUCGGGUAGAUGAUUCGAAAACCACCAACUGUCAACGAACUUGAUUCAAUAAGUAUAGGAUUAGAAAGUAAUUUUUAAAUAUUAAUAAAAAAUUAACAUUGAUUAGGAUAGCUAGCUCUUAGAAUUUACAAAUACAAAACAAAUAAAUCAGAACCCUUUGAUCGAUGAGAAAAGGAAGUAGCACAUGGAAUUAGAUUUAGAAUUCAUGUAUUAGCCAAUUUUAUAUUAUAUUUGAUAUCGAAAUAAAGUCACUUGAGAGAUAAUAGGAACUCUAUUUUUUUCCUUCUACCUGACUUCUCCUCACCUUCCCAAAUUUCUUAAAUAAAAUCCAAAAAUCUUGUCUCCUUGGAUACAAAAUCCCACUCAUGGAGGCCUCCUAACUUGCAUGUUGUCUAGAGUCUUAAUAAUCAAAUACUCCCAGAUUAAAAUGCGCCAGCUAAAAUUGAACUCCGAAUUGUGUUGAAUUGUGUUGUGAAUUUGGUACAAAUUGUACUGAUUUGCAUGUCGCCAGCAUAACCAGCGAAUCAGCUAAGCUUGGAUUUUAGAAUGGAAAAAGUUAAGUGACAGAAUACAAAUGACUUCAAACCCAUCUCACCACUCACUACAGCAAGCCUUAUCAGGAAAAUAGUCAUGAUCUUCAUAAAGAUUCCUUAUCUUUUUAAUAGAUUACAACUUAAAAAAAAAAACUUAGGCUUCGAUAGGUGCUAGCUAAAUCUUGAAAUACACAUUAGCCUUUCAAGAGAGCUUCUUGGUGAUUCUAGCAUAUAUCUGGGUCUUAUAAAUGCACCUUAUACUAUGGCAUAUCAUAGCAUGAGAUUUUUCUUUUAUCUCUCACAAAUUUUCUGUUAAUAUAUAGUUGGCUUUAUUCUCCAAUUAGUAUCUACGCAAGCUUCAAAACAUACUUUGAUUCCAUGACUGUUGGAUGUAAUUGUGAAUAACGAUACCACAAGCAAUCAUAACCACAUCAAGAUUUCAAAAAUUAAAUUGAGAGGACAUCUGAAUUUGUACAUGCUUGCCACUUCCAGAGGGCUAUAGAAAAGCUUCAAAAAGAAACUAACAUUACAGCAUGAUAAUACUAAAUAAUGGUAUGCAAUAUGCAAUAUGCAACACAAACUACAAAUAGGUAAGUAACAGCCAACCCAAAAAGAGCAUGACAAAUUAGUUUUUUAUCUUCACAAUGUAUACAAACUGGCUACAAGGACUAGAAUAGUCAUCCAGAUAAGUGGUCAUACCUUUUUAACAGCAUCUUAAAAAUAUAUUGUAUGAGCUUACUGCAAUAAAGGACUUACUGUGAUAAAGAAUUUAUAAAAAUGCAAAACAAACCCAAGCAAAGGCUUUCUACAAAUGCAAGACAUACCCACUUGUGGAAUAGAAGGGCAAAUAUAUGUGACACAAAAGAAUGGCUCCAGAGUUGAACAAUCAAAUCAAGAAUGUGCUUCCCAUCUUCAGGUACCCUAACAUAGUGAUCAGCAAGAACUUCAUAAAAGCACAGGCAGUUAUCCAUUCUAUCAUCUGCUCUGGCAAUUCCAUCUUCAUUCCUACUGACAAUUAUGUCUGUUUUCAAUGACAUUAUGGAAAAAGUAAAACAUUUGCACAAUUCUAGAUGCAUUGUGUAUUCAAAAAAAAGAAUGGCACUUUGAUUCAAAAUGGUUUUCUAUGAAAGUAUCCAUGUUAGAAUUGAGCUUGCAUGAGCAAAUUUGUGCAGACAUGAAGAUGCACAUAAGGACAAGCUAACAACACUUUUCAAACCCCAGGAAUAUAGCAUAUCUAAUGCACAGUUGCCAUUGGAAGUGCAUACAGGAAUAUGAAUCCAUGUGGACGUGAACAUGCACAUAAGGACAAACAAACAACACUUUUCAAACCCCAGGAAUAUAACGUCUAAUGCAUGCUUGCCAUUGGAAGUGCAUACAAGAACAUGAAUCCAAGAACAAAGCUGAUGUUCUACAUAAGAUGCUGCUACCAUAAUAAUUUAGUUUAAGCCCUCUUUUCGCAUCUGAUCAAUAAGUCUGAUGAAUUAUCAUCAAGUCCUACCACAAUGCAUUUAUUGUCUUCAUUAUAUAAAUGCUUAAACAAUUUUAUUUUCUGUGUCUUGCUUUUUGAUUUCUUAUGCAUGCAAUCUUGCUUGUCGAUUUCUCAUGCAUGUUCCCUAGAGUAUCAGGAGUCCAAUAUCAGUAAAAGAGUUCUGAGAUUCUGUUUUUGACAUAAAGAAAGGGUUACUUGCCAGAGUGAGGUACACGAUCUUGUGGGUUGCAUGUGGCUUGCAUAGCUUCAGGAUGUCUGACUCUUAACAUAUUGACAAUAGUGGCUGAUAAUGUAUUUGAACCUUUCUUGUCAAAGUUUAACAGAUGCUCGAUUCCCAUGUUUUGAGAACAUUCGCUAUCUAUAUCUCCAGUGUUCAUAAAACAGGAUGAACUUGCAAUUUAUUUUCUAAACAAAAGGAUCCGGUUCACAAUCUUCAUUACUUGAGCCAGAUAAGAAACACUUUAAUCGUCACCAAAGUCAGAUUUAGAACCACCUUAACUAAGGAAGUGUUUAGAAAGCUGGUGCCAUUUCAAGAUUCCAGGAAGAUUCUGAAGUGGGUACUCUACCCUAGAUAGAAGAUUCCAAGUAAUAAGUUCACAAUUGAAACAACAAUUUAUUUAGCUUUAUGGUAACAAAGUCUUGAUGCUUUAUCUUCCUAACAGCUAUUUGUUUUCCAGAUUGUGGCAAGAAACUAGGUUUUGCAUUUGAUAGUCUGAUGAUUUGUAUUGUAAAUGAUUAAUGAUGUAAUUAAAGACCCUCUUGUACAUACUGUUUUGUGCUUGAGCAGGCUCCAACUAGCUUUAUUUCUCCUUUAACCUUGUUUUUUGCAUAGACAUUUCUGUUUCCGUAAAUCACUUGCUAAAGAAAUUGAGAUAGAUUGAUAUUUAAACCUUACAAAAUGGAACCCGCCUUGGAAAAAUAUGCAGGACCCAGUCAACAAACAAGAGCAAACAAGGUACAUGAACAAAAGCAUAAGCAUUAGCAUUAUAAGCGAUGAACCUGCAUUACCUCCCAGGUGGUUCAUGAAACUCAUAACACCUAGGCUGCCUCUGCCUAGAUUACCACUUAUUUAUAUGACUAAGAUCCAAAGCUUAUGCUGCUAGCUUAGGAACAGGCGCAACACCCAUGGGGUAACCAAUUAGUUGAUAACAACCUUCAGUUAUAUGUACAUAAAGUAUAUAUUGUGCGUGUGUGAUGCAAUUCUUCUUUUUUUUUUUGAGGGUCUGAUAUGAUGUAUCACUCACAUUAGCAUCCAUGCGUCAUUGAUUGAAAGCUAGAAAAUUUUCAUGAACCAUAUCAUAGCCCAUAAAGCUAAUCUUGUAUAAAAUGCAGCCUUGCUAUAGAUAAGAAAUGGUCUGCUAGUUCAUUUAAAGGUCCCCUUUUACAAAGUACCUAUAUGAAAAGCUAACUCAUACCAAAGUCAACUUUCACAGAGCAAUGCUUUCAGAAAUUAUGUUAUGGUACAUUACAAGAAUUUGGACCAGCAACAACGUGCAGACCAAAUUAAUUGCUCUCCAUCAUAGAAAGAAAUAAUAAGUUGCCAUCCAAUUCCAAAGUGCCAGAACUCCACCAACGUCUCCUACUCCUUCAUGCAUCUGUGCAUAUUCCCAUGUCCCAUGGCCAUCAUGCAUUAUAUUCAACUACGUGGUUAUCAUGUUUUCCAGCAUUCUAACGAGAUUUGCUAGGUUAUAAUAUUCUUUUACGACCUCUAUUACCUGCAUGCUUUCUAUUAUGGUUCAUUUAACUUAUAGGUUCUCUGGGUUUUCAAGAUAGAUGGUCUUGCUUGCUAGUCAAUGUCCAUACUUGCUAUUCCUAAGACAAAAAUGGUAAAGAUAUGUUUUAAUGAUCUGAAUAAGGUAGUUAAAUGCUUACCCUUUUAGCAUGCAGUCAUAACCUCUGGAAAAGUUAUGCAGUAGACUAAAGUCUAAAAGCUCAUAAGUCCUUAUUUGAUUUAUUUAAAUUUGUUUUCUUAACAUUGGAUUCAUAUUGACAAUGAUGCAUCGAAGAUAUAUAAUUCGAUCGUGAAUCGGGUUGGACCCUCCAAAAAGAAAAUGAAAGUAAAGGUUUUAUUUUUUUGAUAGAUUGUUUCGAUAUAUCUUAGGGCACUCGUUUUCUUCUCAUUCGAGUGCAAAUCUAAUCAUCUAGAUUUGAGAUGAAAAGCAGUUCCCCAUUAGGGGCAAAUGGUUAUCCAUUAAGCGGAGAAAAUGGUAUUAUAAGAAGCAAAAUGGUUAUACCCCUAUUCUUGAAAGAAUGGACUAACAGGGUCAGCUACCUAGCCAACUUAUCUUAAUGUAUGUAUUUAAUUUAUUCGGAGCUAAUAGAGCAGGAUCCACUUUUUGGGGAAUAUGAGUCGAAGCCAUAACAAAAAUAUUUCUAGUGGAACAUCUUUCACAGUCCCUAGAGAGAUAGUUCUCUAAUAGACUCAAGAUCCUCUGUUUUCGAUUAUCUAAUAAAUCAUUUAAUGAAAGUAGAUUAUCAUAACUAAAAAAGAGAAAAAGCUUUGGAGCAACCCGUUCUGUGCACAUGAAAAGUUCAUCAGGCUCAUCACUGCUGAUUUGGCAACAACAUAACAACCUCCUUGUUUGGCAACAAGAGUUGCACCGAUCCCCUCUUGCCACAUAGCAAGUGGAUUGUUUGUGUGCACAUAAUGUCCACCCAUAGCAUUACUCCCAAAAACAUAUCCUUCGACCUAGGUUCAUCUAUGAACUAUCACUGGACAAGAACAACGUGGAAAAGCAUAGGACUUCCACCAACUCUUGAGAAGUUCCCUGAUAAUCCAAGUUGUUGACAUCUUCUUCCAAUGGGAUUUCUACAAGGCCAUAGCGGUAACUUUUGGACAAGAAAUUCAGUAGACUAAGGUCUAAGAGCUCAUAUCUAAAAAGAUAUCUGACAAACUAGGCUCCUCUGAAAACUAGCACUAGACAAGAACAUGAUGGAAAAGCAUAUAACAAAAGAUAAGUCCAUAAGCUGGUUUAUCAAGGCUUCACCUAAGCAGUUUCAUCGAAGAAAUUGGAGUCCAAGUAAAGACAAAAAAUCAUAAACACAACGAUGCAGCAUAUCUUGUCCCCAUCCAAUCAAAGUUUAAUUACUCUAAAUUCCGUUGGUUAUAUUUCUUGAGAUCAAGAAGUAAAGGUGGAGGAAAAAAGAAACCACUUGAAAAUAAGAAACCAUUCAGAUUUCAGAAGUAUUCGCAUGGAGCAUUAAAACAUGCUACAAGCUACAAAGCCGUACCUCGAGCUCGAUCAUCUAUCUCCAAAGCUAUAUCAGCAAGCAACUGUUGUAACAGGUCAGCUCUCUGCGACGGAUAGUUCAACGCCUGCAACGACAAAGACAGAAACCACACACCUCACCAUCAGCUUCUUCAUCUAUAUAGAAGUUUAAACGGUUAUAUCAAGAAUAGAUGCGAUAGAAAAAGUGCAAGCAGAGCCCAUCUCUCGCAACAGAGAGAAACAAAGAAACCAUCGACUCAGGGUUUCAAGAAUCGAAAUUCUUAUCAUCGGAAACCAAAACACGAAAAUGGCAAACAGGGCUUCCAGUCAGAAAUAAGAUCUCACCCGCUGAAGCUUUCUCUCGAUCUCUUGGGCAAGCGCGGUAAGGUAAGCCGAUCUCCGAUUCGCCGAACCCUGGCUCAUUCUCGCGGACGCCCGAAUGGAAGAGCAUUUGAGAAGCGACAGCGAACCCUAACCCUAAUUUCCCACUGCCUCUCGCCUUCGCGGUCGGUGGUCCAAGGCAGGACUCGAAAGAAAUCGCACGAGAAAAGCUGAAAGAAUUCGAAACCUUAGCUAGAUUUGGGGGAAAAGAGAGAGGCGGUCUCCGGACUUUCUCGAAGCGGUUCGGAGAAGGAAGUCCAUCAACCGAUUCUUGGAUUCGGUUACAANNNNNNNNNNNNNNNNNNNNNNNNNNNNNNNNNNNNNNNNNNNNNNNNNNNNNNNNNNNNNAAAAUAACCAAAGAAUUUCAAUAAAAUAACAAAUAUGCCCCAUUCCCCGUACAUAGGCUACCCUAGUGGUCUCCAGAGUCGAGGCUUGCGAGGGAAGGAAGGCAUUUAUUCCGCGGAAGUGGCGGGGCCGCGGGGGAAUUCUGUUCUUCCGGAACGUCACCGUUAUGGUGCCGUGACUGACACGUGUCUCUGAUAGGCGGGCCGUGAGUGACACGUGCCUCGGCGGGGGGCAGCCGUCGUGCACACAAGCGAGAGAAUGACCACGCGUCAUAUUCGAAACAGAGACGUUUUUUGCCUGAUCCAGAUGAUGAAGUCAUGAUGAUGGGUGGGUUAGCAUUUUAGUGGACCCGGUUUCGGACAUCGAGCCAGAAUUGCAUUUUGUUUCUAUUUCUGAGCUGCUAUUCGAAAAAAUAAGCACAGCAGACAUGCAUGCGCCUUCCAUCUAUCUUAUCUUUACACUUUAUAAUAUAUAUAUAUAUAUAUAUUCGAAAAUAAAAAAGAGAAAAAUACAUCAUUAACAACGUAUCAAUCUUAUUUUAGACAGAUUGAUCGCAAAUAAAAUCCUGAGCUCUCCAAAUUGCGUUGAAUUUGAGGGUGUCUCAAUAACGGCUAUACAUAUAUUUUGCGAGUAUCACCCUAACUAGUGGUAACAAGCUAGUGGCAUAUGAAAUAUAAAACUUGCAUGACUAUCACCAGCUCCAAAAAUUUAAGGGAGCAUUUGGUAUGGGAUGAUCAUCCCAGAAUCAAGGGUGAUAUGUAUGGAGGUGAUGAGAUCACCGCGUUUGGUUGCACCAUGGUGAAUCUAUAUAGCGGUGAUCCUAAAUCACUUUCGCUCCUCAAAUCACCGUACAACCCAGUGAUGGAAUGCCCGUUCUUGAGGUCCGAAAACCAAGAUCAUCCCAUGACAGUGAUCCUGGGUUGAAAGUUAAAGACAAAAAUACCCCUCAAUUUAGCAAAAAAAUUGAUAUAUUAAUAUACCAUCAAUAUAUUAUGUCAAUGUUAUAUAUAUAAAUAAUAUUAUAUUGAUAUUAUAUAUUAUAUUAAUGAUAUAUGUUAUAUUAUAAUAUAUUACUAAUCAUAUUAUUAUCAUAUUAUUAUUGAAGGAUAAUUUUAAAUUAUAGCGAAAAUAUAUUAUUAUAUUUUAUAUUUAUAUAAUGAAAAUGAUUAAUAUAUUACUCCUAUUUACCUUAUUUUUUAAUCAAAAUAAUUAUUAGUAUUAAAAAAUCUAUUAUAAGUAUAAAUAAAAAUAUUAAUUCUAUAUUUAAAAAUAACAUAUUUUUAUAAGAUUAAUAAUUUAUAGGAAUAAUAAAUAUAUUUUUAUAGAAUAUAUUAAUAAUUAAUAUAUUGAUAAAUAUAUUAAUAUUUUAUUACAAUAUAUUUUAUAUGAUUAAUAAAUAUAUGAUAAGGGCUAGUAAAAGUAGAAUAUGUGACAAAAUUAUGGAGCUAUAAUAUGAAUUAGCAUAUUGACUUACAUUUUUAAAUCAUGAGAAUUAAAAACACAUAAAAAAUCCAUCUAAGAUAUAUGAGGGGUAUUUGUGGUAUUAUGUAGUCGGUGAUCUUAAAUCUCCAUGCUAUACCAAAUAAGUUACUCAUGGAUACCCGAAGAUUUUUAAUCACUGGAUCAUAGCCUACCAAAUACAUUGAUCUUAGAUCACCGGAAUCAAAUUACCCCAGCAUUCGGAUCACCGGAGAUCUUAGAUCACCGUGGUGAUCCUGUUGAGGUUACCAAAUGCCCCUUAAGGAACAUAAGAGAUGCCAUCUGGCACUUUUCUCUUCGUGGUCAUGUACUUAUGCAGCCUUCUGCGGCUGUCCGGCUUUUAUGAAGAUUGACAAAAUCCAUCACAUAUGCGACAUCAACAGCUCAUUGUCCCUCUUCCAAUGUGUUUUCCUUCCAAUUUGUCUCCAACAACCUAGAGUUAGCUAAACAAAUUAAAAUGCACAACUAAUUAAUCUCUGGAACAAAGAUUUAUGCACACAAAUAUGCCAAGUCAGAGCAUUGCCCAGAAUUUGGUCCAAUCAUGAUCUAGCCUGAUUUGGGGUAGCGGAACGCUUAAAAGUAUAAAACCAAAUGCACUAUGAAGAUCAGAACUAAGGGGUAAAAAACAAUCAAAUAUAAUUCACCUGUAUCCAUUUCCGUAUUCGAUCCGGAUCCGAUUUUCCUAAAUAAAAAGUAUCUGAAACAUCUGAGUUAAAACAAAGCAUCCAAAUACCAAACCACAAUGCUUCAUCUAAUUUAUAUGAGUCAUGCUUUUUAUUUAUUGAAAAGUAUUUAGAUUAUUAAAUAACUAUUUCAUGUAUAUUAUUAUAUUUUAACCAUUAUUUGCUAAAAACAUCAUUUUCCUUUGAUAGAACUGAAAAACUAAUUUUAGAUAUUUUCAACACUUUUUUAUCUAAAAAUGUUUAUAAAUAUAAGUAACUUCAAUGCACUACUACAUUUAUUUAUAAUUUUUUUACAUGCUUUCUAAAAAACUAGAUAAUUCAUGAUUAUGUUUUUGUGGUAUUUUUUUUAUUUAUGCUAUAAUUAAAGACUAAUGACAAUUUUGAUACAAAAAAUUAUUACUAUUUUUUAUAUUAUAUUUUUACAUUAAAUAAUUUAAUUUUUUAACUUGAACUCUUGGCCAGGACGAUCUCCAUAUGAAUUUUAAUAACCAUGUCUGAAUCUUUAAAUUAUAUUACCAUCCUCUAUGAUUAUGUAAUUGAUAUUAAUUUUCAUCGUCGCAUUAAACUAAAAAUUCGAUUUAUAUCCAAAUAAUAUCUCACUUAUAUCCAUAUUUGGAUAAAACAAUGAAUAUAACUAAUAUUCGACUUAUAUCUAUACUUUGUCUAAAUAAACAUGAAUAUACAUGAAUAUACUUAAUAUCUAAUUUAUAUCCUCAAUCAUUUAAAAUAAAUAUAAAUAUUAAUUUUGAUAUUUAUUUAAUAUCCCCUCCAUAUUUAUAUUUUUAAAAAUAAAAAUAUAAAUAUGACAUAUCAAUAUCCAACUCAUUUUUAACUCAGACCAUUCUAGCACAACGUCUGCACAGAGCACCUUAAUUUUGGAUUGCACCCAGACCAUUCUAGCACAACGCGUGCACCCACAGCACCUUAAUUUUGGAUAUAAUCCAAUUAACUUCAGAGUGGAUUUGGUCUAACCAUGACAAAGGCAGACCCUAAGGCGCAUCUCCAAAAUCUAAACCUAAUACCAAUUGAAUUUACAGGUCAAGAACCGGAUGGUUGACCCAUUCGCACCUUAAUUUCCAAUUAUGGUCAAGCCUUGGCUUGACCUUGACUGCCGUUCCUGUUCGUAUCAUGCAGACACAAACGAUGCUGGCCAAACCUGUAAGUACACACGAAGUAUCGCUGUCAACUUGAAAGCAGGUUUGAAAUAACCCUUCCUAUUCAAACAAGAGCCCAAUAAAGUAAAUAAAAGCACACGAACUUAUUAUUUUAUAUGGAGCAAAACUUUUCAAUACACGAUUUUACAACACUGGGAAAUCCUACAAUGACACAAAACAAUACAAACAAAAUGAAGAGAAGUAACAUAAACUAACCAAAAUUCUUUGACACACCUCAAACAUUUACACUUAGGAUCUAGAACAAUGGAUCAACAAUAGAUAAGCUGCCUCCAAAUAGUAAUUACAAUCAAACAUUAUACAGGAUCAGAGCUUGCUCUCAUGAUGUUGGUCUUCUACUGAAACACAAAAUUUUUACGACCCAAGGAUGCCUCACAAAAAAACUGCAUGAACCUCGGUACUACAGAUACAAUUACAAAAAUUAAUGGCCAAAACGUUGUUUCCCAUGUGGUGGAAUCCCAUCUUCAAAUGCUGGAGGCUAUUAUCUGUAACCAGAGAAAUGAAUAGCCGCUUGCCUAUGAAUGGUUUACCUCUAUAUCAUGAGCGAUAGAUUACAGAUCCAUUGGAGAAUAGUUUUACCUGAAUGGUGAACAAGAAAACGCCCCUUUUCUGAUGGUGACUGGCAGAAGAAAAAUAAUUUAAAUCAAUUAAAUGAAGGAAGUAACUCAAAAGGUCCCCUGUACAUCGCAUGCCUCUGCGGUUAAUAUUUAUCCAGGUAAAAUGCUCAAUUACAAGCUUUGUUCAAACACCUGCAAACAAAAUUGCCAGAAAAUUCAUCAGUAACUACCCAGAAGAAACUACUAUAGAAAUCUAAGAAGAAAUGAAAAGUGUCUACAUUGAUUUUGUCCAGUGACCUUAUCUAUGCAGUUGCUUAGACUAACAGCUGUCUAUUACAUGUGAUGACCAUUAACAUGCCUUCCUUAUGCAAAAUCACCUUCAAUUUAACUCCAAGAACAUUUUCAAAUAAAAUUAAUAAUCAGAUUACCUCAUGGUAGCACUGGUGGCGAGUUCAAUCCAGAUAUGUCAACUUGGAUCUUUUAGAAACACUAGUAGGGUAAAGAGCAUCAAGUCCCACCAGACAUUCCCCGAUGGUUGAUGUCCAUUGACACAACCAAAUUUGAUAUAAUCUUCUAACUUUAUAAUUUAGUUCCAAGAUCAUUUGACAGCUGUAAUAUUCCACGCAUUUGGAGGUAAGGAUUCUCCAGGAGUUUUUCAUUGUUGCACUAUUUUUUUUCGAGAAAAAGACAAAGAUGUUAGUGAAUAUGUUUAUUAAUGCAAACAAGAUCAUAUGUACAAAUAUAUUUCUCUUUAGAAAUGAGUUUAGGCAACAUGUGAAAGAGUUACAACCUGUUGUGCUUUAAUAAUGAGGCUUUGAAGCAUGCGUUGGUAAUUCUCGGGCUCCUCUGUCAUCAUUCUCUGUGAACCAAAGCAGAAACAGUAAAUAUCGUACAGGCGAUCACAUAAAAUUGGUUAAAUUGUAAGGAGAGGAGAUGAUUGUGAGAGAAGGAGAAGGCAUACUUUCAACAGAAAAGCAGCAGAGUAAUAUGCUACCCUUGAGUCUGUAUCAUCUAAAAGUCCUCUGUCAACAUUGAACAAGCACAUCAAUGUCAAGCAUAUCCAAAAGACUGGUAAAGUGUAACGCAUAGCAUGGGUGGGCAAAAGUACCUGAAAAACUCCUUGCCUUCAACUUCUAGAAAAGCUUCUUGAUCAGCAAUGCAUUUACCAAUUAAAAGUAAAAGAAGAGCAGCCCGUAUAUCUGAUGUAGCGCCAGGUAGAUUCCCUCUUCCUUUGCUGCCAACAGCAACACCUAGUGCAAUAUCAUCAGUCACUGCACCAGCAAGUUGUAUUAAGGGCCAGUAGAACAAUGAUGUUGGAACACGAGCCACUAGCUGCAUAGGAGCUAUAGCUUGUCCUCGCAAAAGCAAUGCUGCCAUUGAUGCUGUCUUACAUAUUGGAGUGUCUUGACCAGUGCCCUGACUGGUGCUAACAUUUUGUGGCAGCUCAUCUUUGCAAUCAUUAUUCUGAAGUGUUUCUUGUGACACACGAGCUUCCAUGUCACCUUUGCAAAUUUCAGUUGUACACCCAAAAAGAUGGCUGAGGCUUUUAAGAUUCCCAGAAGGCAUUUCAUUUGCAGUUUGAAGCCUCAGACAUAACUGAGAAAAUAACAUGUCACACAUCUGCAUACAAGGAAGUUUAAAUCAGAGAAGAGAAACACUGAAGAAAGAACGAAGGCUACAGAAAUGUUUUGGUAUACCUCCUCUUAGAAAGUCGUUAAACUCAAACAUUUGGUCAAACAAAUUUGAAGAGAAAUGCUGUUCUACAAAAAACAUUUUGAGGUUUAAAAUCUAGAGCGUAAUUACCUAGUGCUUGAAGAUAGAAUGAGUCAUUUUAAACAAAUUAUACUAAAAAAAAUAACUAAUACAAACAGAAGUACACAAGGAAAAAAUCUUGCAUAUUACAAGUUCAAAUCAAAUCAGCAGUAAAUAUCCAUUUCGACAAAAAGGAUGAGUUUUCUAAAUACAAUUGUAGAAUCAGGAAGCAAAGACUGCAAAACCAGGUCGAUACCCAUCAUCAGCAUAUCCUUGUUAUGCCAAGAUUUUAAUCACUGGUUUUGGUGAAGGCAUUGCUAAAGCAUAAAAAGCAAUAAAUUAAAAUAACUCAAUACUUCUAAAACAAAUUCUAAGAAGAGAUUGUGGCAAGAAAUCUUUAAAAUGAGCAAGACAGGUCUACAUUAAAAAAUCUGACAGCAAAUGUCAUUAAGGUAUAGAAGUAAAACAUCACAAAUUACCUUCAAGAUGUUGAUAUAGUCAGUCUCAUUAAUUUGAACCACCAGUGAUAAAGCAGUGGUCAUUAUGUCUAUAACUGCAUUUGCUUUGUCCAAACGGUUUUCACUACAAUCAACACCUUCAUGGUUUACAUGCUGCAUCUCACUUUCAUCAAGCAAUAAUUUGCAUCGCAUGAGAAGUUUCUCCAAAACAUAAAGAAAGCCCCAUCUGAUAAAGUUGUGUUUUGACUUCAAAAGCCCACACGUUAUAGAGAUAGGCAGUGGAACUUCUGGACAAGUUGAAUCUUGAUUGCCAGUGACACCAAUUUGCUGCUGCAAUUUUCUAAUGUUUGACCAUAUACUCCUAUCAUUAUCCUCACUGAUUUCUGAAAGAAGCAAUUCGACUAGACAUAUAUACCCAUGAUGGCGGUAAGCAUAUCUAUCUGAGUGAAGAAGUGAGUGUAAAGUAGCCCAAGAAAGUCUAGCUUUUGUACCAAUAUCAGCUUCUCCAAGUCCAUUCUCAAUACUCUUAAUGGACUUGUAAGAUUUUGUUAUUCGAAUCAUAUACAAAAAUUCAUUAUCCAAUCUGGUGAAUGUGCCUAUAGUUGCAUCAAGUUUCUUUGUGAUCUUGUCCAAGAGCUACACAUAAGAAAAGGAUCCAAUAGAUUAUAUCAAUGACAUGGGAAGCAGUAAUAAAGUGCAGAAAUUAGUUUUUUGCGCCAUCAUAUCUUUAACCUGAUUCACAUGCUCAAAAUAGACUGUAAGUGCUGCAUGAAACAUCUGGUUGCACAAGUGAACACAGAACACAGCAUUUAUAUUUAUGAAAAGGAAUCACAUGUCAUCAGUUACAAGAAUAUUGCUUAAAGACCAAGUGUAACAGAAGGGUCUCAUCCAUUAUCAUUUUCAACUGUGUAAUGUAAUGCUUGCACCUUUUUGGAUUACUACAGACUUUUGUAGGGCAAGAACUCAAACUCAAAAUUCCUAAUAUUCAGAUAACAGUGAUUGGUGAUGCCAUGGUAACACUGGAAUAAAACAUGAAUCAAAAGUGGACACCUAGAGAGUAUUUGAUAGACAGUUUUACAGGUAAACAGAGUGAAAAUCAAAUUGCAAUAGCUCUCAGGCUGACUCCUGAAUAUUGACCAAGUGAUUCUCUCAUUGCAUGGGUGGCUUUGAGUAAGCUUGUCAGCAUCUUUGUUCAGACUAGAGGAUUAUGGAAGAUCAAGGAUUGCUAUCUAGCAUAUGAGAAGUACAGAAAUACAAGGGCUGUACAUCGCUUUUAAAAAUUGAGUAACCUGCUAAAAUAAACACUAGAACCAACUCUAACUCCCGAUUUUUGUGCUUGUAGCCUCAACAGCCUAUGGACAAGCAAACUCAAAUAGAAUUUUAUUUUGUUCAUCCAAACAUGUUAUUUUGGAUUGUUUGUUCAUAUAUUUCCAAAUGCAUUCUUUGCUUUGAAUAAUAAGAUAUAAUAAUAUUCACUGGGAGAAAAUUACCAAAUUUUGGCGUUCAUAGUUCGGUGAGUUUGAUAAGGCUGCAGAGAUAGAUCUUUUCAAAAUCUCUCCAAUGCCUUCCACGCCAUGCUUAACAGCAAUAUAAAAGGCUUCAGGUGCAUCUGCAAGCGUAAGCAUGGAAGCAACAGGUUGAAUCUCAUCAUAGGCAUAGGCAGAAUUUCCACCAGCCAAACAAGCUUCAUUUAUCUGAUGCACAACAUAGUCAAAGAGAACCAGAAAUAAAUCGCGCUUUUCUUCCCUUGAGUUGGCCCGUGAGUACUGCAAAGUAAAAUGAGAUAAGUUGCCUUCCUGGACAACUAUAGGUAAAUCUUGAACCAAGAAAUAAACAUCAUUAUUUUACCGAACAGCUCCUUCAAAAAUAUACUCAAAGAAAGCAACAUUAGGCCACAGGAGGAAAAAAGAAUGCAGUAGAGCAUAAACGUAUUGGAAGCUAAAUUAUGACUUAUUUCCCCAAAUGUUACCAGGGCACCAGUAUUAUGACUAAAUUUUAAGUUAACAGAACUUUUGAACGGUGAAGGAAUUUUUUUUUUGUGGUAGAAACUGUUCAGGAAUUUCAAUGUUGCCAAAAUCAUGACUUGAUUUUAUAAAUCAUAUCUCAACAUCAAUUCUCUAUAUUUUAACUCAAAUGUUUCACUUUAAAGCACUAGUCAAUUCAAAUAAGAAAAUCUAACCCAAAUGAAGUAAGAACUGUUCAUAAGUAUUUCGAAAUACAGGCAAUUGUUUGAAAGAUGAAUAACUUAGAGCACACCUCAAGACAUAUGAAGUCAAUUCCGCCAAGAUGAUCAACUUGUUCAGCAAAAAAAGUUGGAGUAACUGAAGAAGCUUGCAUAGCUCCAUUUGGAGUUUGAUAGAACAUGUUUGCCAACAUGCAGAUGAGCUUGCAAUGAACUACUUCUGCCCAUGAAUGUUCAUCGCUGAUCUCUACAAGGGUCUUAACAACCUGUAAGUGAAAGAAUACAACAGAAAGGCAAAAAUAGAUGAGUGAUACUCCUAAACAAAAAUGUAACAAUUCACCAGGCAGAGAUCAAUUCAAUGCACCAUGAGAGGAUACCGGGAAGAAAGACUUCUUUAAAUGGUUUGAUCAAAACCUAGUCUUAAGCCCUAAAUCAAAUCUAUACCAUGGUUCACCCAACUGCAUGCCGUAUUCUAAACUACUAAGGUAGAGCGGUAACUCCGUUCUUUACAAAAUGCACAUGGCUUGUCCAUCACAUAUAUUAAUCCUUCAACCAUUCCCCAUCUCCCCCCUAUGAUUCCAAUUCUCUGCAUUUAUAGUUGAUUAAUAGCAUAUGAAUACCGGUGGAAAAGCAUAUAAUGCAUUCAUAAAAAGUAAGUGAUGAGAGGAUGAGCCUUGGUGCAAUAGUAAAGUUGCUCCAUUGUGGCCUGGAGGUCACGGGUCUAAAACAAGUAAACAGCCUCUCCGCAUGCGGGGGUAAAGGUGCAUCUGACCCUCCCCAGACUUUGCAAUGAGAGAGCCUCAUGCACUGGGUUGCCACUUUUUUAUAAAAAGUAAGCCAUGGUUUAUCAGCUAGAAGCAAACUUCUAGAGUGCAACAUAUUCAUGACGAACUGAUGGGGUCACAUGGUGUAUUUCAUUAAACAGAAAGUGAAUCAUAACAUGAUAAUACUCCACAUGUAUAAUAGUAGCAUAUGGACUGGUUGAGUCUGGCAAAAUUGAGGUGGUAAGGUGGAUCCAUGGUAAAACUAGUGAAAUGCAAUAAGAUAAUGUGCAUGCAAAGAAGCCUGAGCAGCCAUAAUGCAAGAUGAAGUGGUCAACACAAACAUCUCAAAAACGUGGAACAAAUUCUAGGGACAUCCUAGUUUUGGGAAAAGGAAAGCAUAUACAGGAACGGUAAAAAAAUGCUUGAAAUAUUCUAUGACAUUUGACAAUGUAUGGCAAUGAAUGACUAGACAUAAUCCAUAAAGCAAAACUAUACAAGGCAUGAUUGGAGGGCUGCUCCUUGUGCAUUUUAGAGCAAUUUAGUUCUAUGCAUUCAAGCUAGCUUUUUGAGCUGCUUGGAUUUGCCAUUUCUCAAGCCAAGCCCAAGGUUAGACCAGAAAUUGUCAGGGAAGGAAUGUUUAGGCUCAUUUCAACUAUAAGCUAAGCAUUAAAAUGAGUUCCUAACAGAGCUUGUUCUGGGCUGAAUGAAACAGUUAUAGAGCCAAGUCCAUGCUGUACAUGAAACACACAAUUCACUUGCAGCCUUACACAGUGGCAUGAUGCGAAGACUUCAUAUUCGAAUAUGUCCAGUCCAAGCAGAUCAAUGGCACGCCUUUGCACAUUUAUAAUGUGAAUCCAUGGUUAAUCAAGUUAGAAAAGGCCAAGAAAUUAUAUCCUAGUCAAAUUAAGUAUUUAAAUUGUUAAAGAAUUGUCAAAUUGUUAUCAUAGAGCUAAUGUUUUCAAAUCUAUCUUAAUUUAAGUCAUGCUUAAUUUGCAACCUGCUUCAAGGUCUUCCCUGUAACUUGGCUACUCAUUUUUGCCUUUCAAUAACAUAUUCUCCAUGCACCUUGUUCUCUCCAAUUGUUGACAAAUUAGCCAAUUUCAACUUCCACUGCAAUAAAGAGUUCUGCCCUGACCAUUUUAAGUCCUGAACCCUUGCUAUGCGACAGUACUUGCAAGUUAUAGCACGACCAUCUCAUCACAAGCAUUGUCCCAGUCAAUAUUUGAAUCUCUUCAUUGUGGAUGCAAUAACUACUACUUGCAAAGGAAAAUGAAAGUGCAUCAUAUUGCCUUCCUUCUCAAAUAAGUGCUUUUCUAUUCCACUAUAAGAGAAACUUGAAACUGAUGUGAAGUGCAUUGUUGACUAGACUUGCAGACCUAAUAAUAAGCAUAAGAAUGCAAGCAGCUGCAUCCAAUGUUCUAGAACACAUUAGAAUUGCUUAUCAAACCAUAAUUUGAAAGAAAUUACCAUAGCCUCUAAGCAAAAGAUAUGACCACGAACUAAUGUAAUAUUUGGAGAAAAAAAGUAGUAGAAAGCUUGGCAUCUCACCCUUAUGUCAAGACCUUCCAACCUGCUCCUUAAUAUUUUUCCUCUAUCACAAACAAAGUAAAAUAGACAGCUUAGAGCAGAUGCCCAUACAAUUUCUUCCCUUUCUUCUGUCUGCAAAUAGUCAAUCGGACAUAUUACAAAAUCCAAAACAAAGACAAUAUUAGUUAACGAGCUAGAUUAGAGCAGAUCUUGAAACAUCAAAAGGAACAGAGGAGCAAGAAACAAUGACAGAUCUGUCCAAAAGUUUCUUUAGUGAAGAAGAACCAAUUCAUGUGAAAAAACAAAAAUCUUUUAGGCAAUUCAUGACACUUUAUCUGUCAAUCAAGAUUCUGUUCUAUCUACUAAAGCAUUGUUGGGAACACAAUGUGCAAAGUUGUGCAGAAAGUAUAACUCGCAAUCUCGUAAGAAAGUUCCAAUAAAAAUUCCAGAAGUGCUGGCUUCUUUUUUUUCCUUUAAGAAAAAGUAGGAACAGCAGCCAACAAGACAAAAAUACAAAAAUAGAAGAAAACAGAUUGUAAAACACUUAGUGUCAGAAAACAAGUAAAUUUAACCCUGUCGAAAGCUUUAAGGUCAUUGUUGUAAGCAUGAUUAAAAUACUUAAAGCUGCUAAAUUAAGCACAUAGUUGUCAGACAGAACUCAGGCAGCACUGACCUUGCAUUCCCAAGGUUACCUUACUAAGACAAGUUGGUGAAGAAGAGAGAGAAGAAAACAUGGAGAGAGGGAGAAGAUAAAGGGUUAAAGAUAUGAUUUUCUUCUCGCCACUAUCACUAGAGGAAUAACAAUGUUUUAAGAAAAAUAAAGACUUACACCAUCAAUUCACCACUUCUAGUAAAAAAUUACAACUCAGCACCUCAUGCCAAAGCUUCUCUUGGGUCUUCUCUCUACACCAUCGCCUACCAAUCAUAAUGACCCUAGUGUACUAUUUGAUUUGCAGGAAAAUAAAGAUUCAUUCUCUGUGCCAACUUCAGCUGCAGGACUAUAUGUAAAGAUGGCUAUUCAUCCUCCUAAUCAAGGAGUUAAACAGGGGACCUAUCUAUUUAAAGUUGGGAUCCAUGAUUCACCAUUAGUAGGAUGUCAUUUGGAUUUGAUUGCAUAUAGGGAGUGAAAAAGAGAAGAGAAACAGGGCAUGAGAAAAAGAGUGUCUUGAAUGAAUGUUAGAUGAAAUUAAUGGAGACUUCUAUUGAAGCUAAAUGCAGGAGGGAGGGAUCUACACAUAUUUUGGAGUUUGAAUUGUCAAGAUAGUCUUAAUUAAGGCCAAAAUGUCUGAUCGGUGAAAAUUAUUCAUGCUUUAGUCAACAUCCCAAUACAUAGCUUUAGUUAUUUGUUCUGUUUUAACUUUUAAGAAUAGGGGCACUCUUGGAACUAAAGUGUAAAAGCUGGGAAAUAUUUCACAUGCAUGACAAGUAAUAUUGUGCAUGUGCAUGUACAUGUGUGUAUAUACUUGUGGAUGUCUAUGCGUGAUGAUCGUAGCGAGGGUCAUGUAAGGCAUACUAAGAACUGUCUAUUGCCUAGGCAUUUGCAUGGGUAGUUGGCCAGGAUCCUUGGGGGGCUGCACUUAACAAUGAACGAGCAAGUCUAGUCCAUCUGAACCAACUGCAGCAAUUCUUCGACGUUGCAAUAAAAAAAAUCAUAGAUGAAAUGGAGACAAGUUCAACAAAAUCCUCCAAAGGAUCAUAACUAACAGAAAUGAUAUUCAAACCGGCAAUCACCUGAACAAGAAGGCGAAGAAUCUCAAAUAAUAUGGCCAAAAGCCAUGACUCAAAAUUAUCAACAGCUGAAGCCAUCCUCCGCUGCAUAUUGGACUCUGUAGCCAUCUUUCCCUGUGUCCCCCGUUGUUCUUCAAUGGUCAAAGGAGGCUCUUGUAAAGGUUCAGCUUCAUCAAUUGGUGGAGGAUCUUCAUGUAACAUAGGCUCCAGUAAUUGUGCAUGGACACCAAGGUUUAAAAUUAAAUCAAAAGCCCGGAUCCUAGAAGCAAUUCUCUGAGAGCUAAGCAUACCCUGAAAGGUAAAAAAUAAAAAAACAAAAUCAGGAAAACCACCUAUGUUAUCCCUCAAGGAAGUCAUGAACCAAAGCAUGGCACCUCUAACAUAUAAAGAGUUAGCGGGGCAGCAAUUCCAGGAUCCAUCACAUACCUACAAAAAGAGAUUAUAUUCAUAUUAAACUCAUCCUAAUAAUACAACAAAAAACAAAGGAGAUUAAAAAAAAGAGGUCAGCAUAGAUGGAAUGCUUGUCAACUGUCUUUAGUCUUGCAUGAGAUUGCAAGUGGAAAGCUUCAUAAAGCUAACGACUUGUUAAAUAAUAAAUAUUACAAAAUAUUAGAUUGUCCAUUCAACUUUUUUCAGUAACUACAACUUCCAAGAAGGCUAGAAAAGUUCCAAUUAAGAAAGGGUCAAAACAUAAAAGUUGGAGGUGAUAUUUGAAAUAGAGGCUAUGGUGGUGAUGAGAGGAGUCAUGUAAAAUUUAUUGGUUUUUAUAUAAAAAAGAAUUCUACUAAAUUGAGGAAGGUCAAAUUGGAUAGAAGUUUGAAAGUUGAUGGAAAAGAUUAUCAGGUAUCUAUUUUUAUCCCGUGCUCAUUUUUAGGAUAAAUUAAUUGGAAAUGUGCAUGCAGAGAAUGAAACAAAAAGAUUAACACUGAACAAGAGUUGAAGAGAUAGUAAAAUACUGCAUGGUAAAAUACUAGUUGUUGAUUUAUAAUGCAAAAAUGGAUGUUAUGCAUUCAAUAGUGGUGAUUUUUCUAUCACAAGAGAUCUAGUAAUUAACCAGUGAUUAUGAAUGAAGUCUAUUGAUGCAAAUUAAAAUAUAGACAGUCAUGGUAGUUAAGGGUCAUAGAUAAAUAUAAUGCAGAAAAGUAAAAAUAAUAUUUGAAUAUAACAAAUCAGUGGCUUUUGUAUAGGCCCAACACCACAACAUUUCUGUUAUAAAUCUCAACUAGUUUAGCCACCAUAAUACUCGAAUAUAGAUUAAGUGUAAGUAAAGGAUAAAACUAAGAGAUUGGGUCAUUUUAGGAUAGGUUUUUGGUAUUCUGCCUGAUUUAGCUGUCUUGGUUUACCUUAGUUUUGUUGCGAAACAUCAUCAUUGUUGGUAGUUGCUUGACAGUUGAUGAUGCCUAUCACCUCUCCCAAGGAUAGAAGCCAUCAUCAACUCAACUAACAGCUUUUAUUUCGAAAUGAAGGACACCACAGGAAUGUCCUAUUCAUGAAGUCAGCAUAUAUAAGCUGCUAGUGCAAGGGACUCCAUUAAGAACAUCGACAUUUGAAAUUGUAAUGUCAAAAGGCAACCAAUGGUAUUUAAAAUUGAUUAGGUAUCCCAUCAAGUAAUUAAGGCAUACUUAAGGUCCAGAUUGCCUAUAAACAUGCCCAGCAAGCAUGUGAUUUUACGACAAGCGUUCUCAUUCGAGAAUCUUAUUGAGCUCGGUGAAAAAUUCCUACUCUGCUUCAGCAACCACACAUCACUUACCUCUUUGACGAUGUAAGCUAAUACAUUAAUGAAACAUAAUUUUAUUAAUACCAAACAACCAGGAUAAGAGCUGGCUCUACAGCAUUUUCAGAUGGAUAAGUUUCUUUAGGUUAACAAACCAAACCUGAACAGAAGGCAUACAACUUGUUGCCUUUUUAUCAUAUAGCAGGCUUUGCUCAUUAAUAUUUUAAGGGCCUCUUUCUCUGAUGAAAGCUAAGCUCAGCAAUUAAUUAGGUGCACUUACCUCAACUUCUAUAAAACAGGGUGUUAA